This 935-nucleotide long non-coding RNA is filed under the name Pogona vitticeps (central bearded dragon). RNAcentral's name for it is "lncRNA (ENSPVIG00000015794.1)". The record is from RNAcentral. Lineage: Eukaryota; Metazoa; Chordata; Lepidosauria; Squamata; Agamidae.
AUGGAAACUAUGCUGAAGGGGCUGCUGUAUGAAGUUCCAACCACAAGCCAUCUCCUGUUUAUAUUAAAGCACAUCAACUUCUGGAUUCAUUCACCAGAUGUACAAGAGAGAGCCCGGGCCAUGAGAUGCAGCACUGUGUUGCUUCAAUAUGCUAUUCAGCUGCCUGAUUUCCAAAAGACAGGUGAACUCCCUGCCUUGGGAUAUCAGGUGGCUCAGUAUGGAAUCUGCAUCACAGAUCCAUUAGAAGAUGUGAACCAUCAGGCCCGGGAAGCCAUCAAGUGCCUUUAUCAGCUGCUGCUUCAUCACAUGGUCGAUAAUGAUGCUUGAUGGUUAAGAACAGCUCAAACACCUGCAACAAUGCUGCUUCAGGCAGGAAGAUCAAGAGAGCAGAAGGCUAGGCUUAGCAGUAUGUUUCCAUCUGGUCUCCGGUUCCUCUUAGGCAAUGCGUCUCUAGAAAGCCCCAAAGGUCCACCAAUAUCACUAAAGAAGCCAGAAAGCAGUUUCUGCCCACAGCUUCUUCUGUGCUGCAUGUCAGCUGAUGCAUCACAUAGACAUCAGUGGCUCCAAUUGCCAAUAGAAGGAAGAAACCAGCUGGGGACGCAGUAUUCCAUUGGGACAAUCAUUCAGAGGGCAGAACCAGAACAUAAAUGUCUUUUUAAAUACCUAUAAUUAAAUGAGAAUAGUGAUUUCCCCAUCUUCUGGUUAAACUGCACUUCUUUCUGUGGAUCGUUUUUCAUGGAUGCUAGCUUGCACUUUGAUGUUUUCUGUGGCCUGACCUGUAUCACUCUCUAAAGCAGCACUCCUGUAAACCAGUGUAAAUGAAGUAAUAUCACUCGCAAUGAGAAGAAGACUGUGUUUGGAUAUAAACACAAAAGAAUGGAUACAUGGAAACAGAAAGGUGGCAAAGAUGAAAUAAAUAAAAGGUAGCAAGUACA